Molecule: long non-coding RNA, 6103 nt
Organism: Apis cerana (Asiatic honeybee)
Lineage: Eukaryota; Metazoa; Arthropoda; Insecta; Hymenoptera; Apidae
Source: RefSeq, a predicted model, not a curated record
CUGGCUGCAUCGUUAGGAGAGAAAGAGAAAGAGGAAGAGAGUGCGCGCUAGCCAGCGAAAGCUUCGCGAGCGAAAGGGAGAAAGGAAGGAGUAAAGGAAGACAGAACGUUUACGAACGCGAUAGAGAGAGUGUGCGCAAGGUACGAGGGAGAACGAGUGAGAAAGCCGGAGCGUUGCGUGGGGAGCGAUCGCAGCUCGUCAUUCGAAGCCCGCCAACGGACGAGCGAGCAGCGACGGCACGGGACUGCGAUUGAAAGUAUCCACGCGAUCUUCGCGAAAAUAAAGAGUACAGAUACAGGCUUACACACCUGAGAUUAAAACAGGUGAAGAAUCACAUCGUGACAAAACAUUUAUUUAAACAGUAAUUACCAACUGCUUUGCGAUAGCAAAUCAAUCGCCGGUGUAACACGCUGAUUCGUACGGUCCACUCGAACGAAGCGCUCGUUUCUCGUUCGGUUCGCUUCGGUUACGAUCGUGUCGGCCGCAGUGCUUACGGUGUUCGUCUCGCGUGUUUUCAUUUCAGAGAAGGAGAGUGACAGCGAAAAGAGUGGUGGAAAGAAAACAAAACUGUUGACAGUGAUUAAACGUGACUCCUGCAAAACAUCCUUAAAGGAUAUCUGUGUGACAUUCUUCUCGUUCGAAAUAUCAGGAAAACGAGAAUCCUAUUGCUCACAAGGACGAGUUGCAGAGAAGGAGCAGUGUAGUUUAUUCAUUAAACCACUAGGGUGCGUGUAUCGUAUGUGUGAUUGGAAUCAGUACCGGUACAACAGCAUUACGUGAGACAUUGAAAAUCGAAUUUGUGCUUCGAUCAGUGUUCGUUGUUGGUUAAAAAGUUCAUCGCGACUAUUAUUAUUCGUGGUCGGAUUGUGUUAUAGUGUCGUUUCGUGGUCGAUUUAAAACCGUUACAUUUUUUUCGAAGUACAUCGAUGAAUCAUCGAUAUUUCGAACUGAAGCUGGUUCAAAUCAAUUGCAAAUCGUUCAUUCUAUGAGGUUGAGUGUAGAAGGAAUAUCAAAGUUACAAACAAUAACAGUACAAUUUGUCUAAAGUAAGUUAUAUAGAAUCAAAUUCUAGGAAUAUACAAAAAGAAAUAAACAUUCCGAGGAACGAAGACGCCAUUAGUCUAACAGACCUGAGGCUAUUGUAGCCAUUAUCUUGUAACGUACGACAUAUUUGAAAAAUUGAAAUCUUGUUUCGCGCGCAAACGGAAUAUCAUAUUGGCUGCUUUCGGAAAGAGUUGGAUAUUCUUGAAAUAUCUUUUUGAUCAACUACGAGAAAUAUACCAAUGUUUAUUCCAAUAUAUCGAUAGAGGAAAUAAUAAAAUUUCUGCUAUAUGAAAGAAAAUACGUUUGGAAGAAAAUUCAAUUGUAUAUUAUUCCUGUGGAAAACGAUCGAAAGAAUCAACUAAGGACUGAUUUGUGAUUGAAUUAAGCUUUUCUUCACUGUUUUUACGAAAAUUUAAAAGAACUAUCAUCUUAAGAUAUAUAUUCCGAGUGUCAAUGUUUCGCCAUAACGUUACAAUUUCGACACUGAAUUCAACGGUGGCGCAGUAUUGAGGAAACCAAAGUUGCAUUUAGCAACUGAAAUUCAACUUCAAUGUUCUUCGUGUGCUGUCUACUAAUUCGGCGUCGUGUUUCGUGACAUUAUAUUCGCGUGUGUGCUACAAAAGUGCUCGUGGACGAAUGAUUUAUCAUACUAUCACGUGAAAAAAUAUAUUCGUGUGUGCAAAGAAAGCUUUUUUCCCAGUUGGAUUACAACGAAGCAACGACAUUGUGUUCACUUCGUAGGAGUGGAAGGAUUUGUCGCGACCUCGUGAAUUUCGAAUUCGUCGUGUCGAUCGAGACAACAGACAGCGCGUGGCCAAUUACUCGCAUCGUUACAAGCAUCAAUUGAUUAAUUAACACCUUAAUUAAUUCGUUCGAUCGGUUUUAACUCUUCGACACCGUUGCUGCUCUCGUGUCUACACUUUAACGUUUUCGUCCGUUUUCAAGAUCGUAUCGCGAUCGUAUAAUAUUCGGAAUUUUUCUCAUUUUAUACGCCAACAUCGGAAAAUUGAUUACACGCGAUUCAACUUCGUGACCAUUAAUUCCAGUUUUGAUUGUCAACGUUUUCUCGAGUUCGAUUUUCAUCGUAUAGGCAGGAUCUAUUCUACAUAGAUCCUUUGUCCGAUUAAACCGGGAUUACGUGCUAGUUCGUGGAGGCAAUCGGUCUGUAAUUGUGCCACGCGUACGGUUAAUCGCUUGUCUACGCGAAGAACAAUAAACGGUGGUGUUUACGUGACGAAAGUGCAGACGCAGCCCACUCGGUCACUUGCAAAAAGUGACCCAUAGUUUUCUCCUGGAAGUGGUACACAAACGGCCUCAAGAUUCAGCUGGACAUCAUGCCUUGGUUCAUCCUAUUUCUUCUUCUGUUAGCUGUGAUGGAGGCCUUCCCUCGGGAGGCCACCUGUUCCCGCCUGCCGGACAUCUACUGGAACUCCACCAAUCCAAUGUAAGUACAUCACGAGUGGAAGACCCUGCAACCUUGGUGAACUUCGAGAAUGGUUACGAUGUAUGUAAGUACGGUGCAAAGGUGAUAGACGAGCGUCGGAAUUCAGCCAAUUGAUAUUGGCUAGGUGCAAUUGCGCCGAGUAAAUAUAUGUGUAUCGAUAAUGGCGGUACGUAUCUGUGCGAAAUUGCACCGACUUCUCUCCAAAGGUGAAAUCUCUAAAGGUAAAAGUCUGCUACUCAACCGUGAAGAUAUUCGGAUAUUCGAUGAUGAAUCGGUUUACGCAUUCGAGAUUUACAUAUUUUCGACGAGGAUAAUAAUAUCUUAUCCAUGUUAAUUUUAUGUUUGUACAAGAAGGAACGUUACUAAUGCAAGAAAUAUCAUCUCAUAGAUAAAAUCGACGAGAAGAAUAAAAAAGAAACCAAGUAUUGCUUCAUAUUUGAACACCUUACUUUAAUCUACUCUCUUAAGGAACAAAUUACCAUCGAGUCCUGAAAAGAACGAUGGAAUCAAGCCCCAGUAUGUAUAUAUCUUUGUACUUGUAGAAAUAGAAUUCCGAAUCUCAAAUGACUAACGAUAUUUCCAAGAUAUAUUCCACACUCCCCUUAUUAUUUCAAUUCAAAGAGAUUACCAUAAUUACAAGAGAAAUUCUACUCAUUCGCGCAAUUCACCUUCGCUUUUAUAACUCUAUUCCACCAUCUGAUUAACGCUUUCGCGUCGAUUAUAAUUUUCUUCCUGCCACGUUGUUAACCACACAUCGUUGCGGAUGUACGCACUGCCAGAAGCUCGUUCAGCUAACGAUUUAAGAAGGUGGGGAGGAGACGUAUCUAACUCGAAUCGUCGAAGAAGUUGCUAACGAGGAUGAAGAAAAAAGGCGGAGAGUAUACAGGGCGCUUGUUAGCCGUCCUCCUCUCCUCACCUUGAGCCAACAAGGGCGCGUUAUCCCCCGAAGGUGACGCGGAUUAAUUAUUUAUCGUGUCUAUCUUCGGUUUGACGGGAAGGGAAGCUGGGUGUCGCGCGCGAGAUUAAACGAGCGCAGGAGGUCAGAUCCAUGAGAUUCGAUCGCGAUAAAGGAUAGAUCGAUAAACGUCUGUUAAAUAUGUACCGUGCGUCCGUGGUUAUUACGGAACGGAAGUUACGAGCGUUGGACGGUGAUUGCUACCUUCGCGAGUCGGUCUUCCUUUUCCGGCAGUGCUAGCGGAGGAUAAUUUUAGAGAAUCGUCUCUACUCUUUCUUCAUUCGUCGAAUUUAUUUCGGUACAGAUUAUUCCAAAAUUAACUGUUUCCUAUAUCUCAAUACGAGGUUUAACAAAAGGCGUACUACAUACACAUUGGAUUCACACGUGGAACUGUAUACGUAGAAUCGAUGAACGGAUUGGCCAGGUGUAACAGAGUAUUAACGAUCCAUGAAUGGUACACGGAUUCGAGAACUACGCUCAAUUACUACGCUCGGCACAGUAAAUCAUGAACGAGAUACAGAUCCGUGGUCGGAUGGCGACCCUUUGAAGCGACCCUUCAAGGUUACACCAGAAGGGCUGCAGCCGUCGAUAGAUAGACAGGAACGGUAAACAGGAAACGUAUUCGAUCGAUAGAGCGAAGGAGCCGUAAACCGAUAGAUAUAUAUCGGCGAUCGUGGGAGUUAGUCGGCCGAUUUAUGUAUACAGUUGAAGGAUCCAAGAGGAUCGUAGACAAUAAUGCUCUCUUCUCGAGAUAAACGAGUAUGUUUACGCACGUUCUUUUUCUCUCUCUCAUAUUUUUUUUUUCUCUUAAACAUGACGCGUAACAAUUAUAUCGCCACGUAUCGAUUGUUUUUUAUUCGUUCAUAUCAAAAUUUAAUUUUUUUUAUUAUUCUUUUUAUUAUCUUAAUACUUUAUAUUUGCAGCGUUUGUUAACGAAAAUAAGCGUAAACGUUUUACUCAAUUUCGAUAUUUUUCGUAACGGAAAUUGAAUUGCAAUUUACACGAUCCUUCGAUAAUGAAACUAAACCGAUAUAAAAGUAAUAUGAAUAAUAAUAAAAAAAAAAACUUCCACAGAGAAUCCGUUCGUGUACAGAUACAAUAACGCUUAUUCCCCAAAUACGCCAUUACUUCGACCUCGUAAAUACACCCGUUAUGGGCCAUAAAAUCGAAUAAUCGUCGACCGAUAUUUAGCGGGUACAGCGGCGCGAUAACGUUUUGUCCACGGUCAGCAGAUUGCCGAUUGAGCCGCACUGAAUCAAUGGUUUGCGUCCGUCCACCAUGUAACUGGAUCGUCAUAUUUUUACAUUCACCGUGUUAAUCGAUACCAAUAACGCAGAUGUAACGUUUUGAUUCCCGGCCGAGAAUUUAGAAUCGUUAAAUCCUUCCACGAAAUUCACGUAUUAUAAAAAAAAAUCGAAUUAAAUGAAAUUAUUUUUCAAUCUCCCUCGACAAUACGUCCGCGCACGUAUUCCCUGUAAUACGAAUUUCAAAAAUUAAUAACUAGGAUUAAAAAUUGGAGGAGAAAGAAAAAGAAUCGAUCUUUUUUCCCAACCACUAAUAAAUCCUGUUCGAAGCUUCCACUUUCGCUCGAUUCAAACCUCUAAUCUCGCGCAUCUAUCCAUCGCCUUCUCCCCUCCCCUCCCCCUUUUUUAACCAAGUAAUGCAUCAUCGCCGCAAAUUUCCCCUCGUAUAUCGCUUAACCGCACCUUCUUCCCUUCGACUUCUGAUUAAGCGAGCCACGACAAGGGUGCGAACGGCGGACGGUCCCGCGAUUAAUCGACCAGGUGUGUACGUCGAUUUCUCCAUUGUCAGUCGCGUUGGCCGGGGCCGGCGGCGGCGCGUCAUUCUAACGCUUCACGCUUUACAAACUAUAUUUCACUCGGCCCCCGGUAAUUUUAUGUGCGAGCUGUCCCACCUAUCUCCACGGCGCGAGCGAACCCCACAGCCCCGGGAACACCGGCACCGGCUAGAUACCCCCAAGUUUAUUGCCGUUCGGUGAUAACCCGUAAAUUGCUGUCCAUAGGAAACGGGUAUAAGCGAUAGCACAAAGCCGUAAUCUGCGCCGAAUCGCCCGCAGAGUCGGCGAGCGGGCAAACUUCUAUAUUGCCGAUUCCAAUGGUUAACGCGCGCGGAUGCGCGCGCGUUUUUUCACCUCCUCUUCGCUCGCCCAUAAUUUUCCCGCUUUCACGCGCGCGCGCGCACCAACCCUACCCAGCAAUAAUUAUUGCUCCCGCCAUUGGCCCACGCUUGUUCAUCGAAUUCAUCUUUCCUUUUCUUCCUUCUUCUUUUUUUUCUUUCGUUUUUUAAUUUUCGCUCUCUUCCUAGUCUCGAUUAACGUUGAGUUAACGGUUGUAAUUUAGAAGAUUUCAUGGCUUCGUGGCACUGGCAGUUCUUGGACUGUUAUUCAUUUCGCAACCUCGAGAUGCUGGUUUAGAGUUCCUCGUAUAUCUGUUUGUUGAUAGAAUUAUUGCAGGUAAGUGAAACGCGUGUGCAACGAAUUUAAGAAAUGAAAAUUAUUUCCUAAAUCUUCGAUCUUGCACCUAUUUUCCUCCAUUUCCCGCGAUUUUUCUGCUUCGCCAUACACGCGAUCAAGAACGUCGUCAUUUCUUCGUGCCACGUAUUUCCGUGGUUAAAGAGCGUCUCGUUCACGUAUGAAAAUU